Molecule: ribosomal RNA, 200 nt
Filed under: uncultured bacterium
Lineage: Bacteria
Description: partial 16S ribosomal RNA
Rfam family: Bacterial small subunit ribosomal RNA
Source: RNAcentral
CGAUGGAGGGGGAUAACUACUGGAAACGGUAGCUAAUACCGCAUAACGUCGCAAGACCAAAGAGGGGGACCUUCGGGCCUCUUGCCAUCGGAUGUGCCCAGAUGGGAUUAGCUAGUAGGUGGGGUAACGGCUCACCUAGGCGACGAUCCCUAGCUGGUCUGAGAGGAUGACCAGCCACACUGGAACUGAGACACGGUCAG